GGGAAUGCCGGUGGUAGGGGCAUGGUAAGAAGGGGGGGGAGAGGGUUGUUGGGAAGUACGGGGCGUGAAGCGGACGGAGGCGGCGUUGGAAGUUAGAGGGGAAAGCCCGGGGCGCAACUCCGGAAGUGCCUUUAAAACUGCAUCGCUAGAAUUGUGGAGAGGUAAGUGGAAUUCCGAGUGUAGAGGUGAAAUUCGUAGAUAUUCGGAAGAACACCAGUGGCGAAGGCGACUUACUGGACACAUAUUGACGCUGAGGUGCGAAAGCGCGGGGAGCAAACAGGAUUAGAUACCCGGGUAGUC
RNAcentral lists this ribosomal RNA (300 nucleotides) under uncultured Pyrodictium sp. RNAcentral describes it as "bacterial SSU rRNA". The stretch from base 52 to 300 matches the Rfam family "Bacterial small subunit ribosomal RNA", at positions 547 to 795 of the family's 1533-position model. The record is from RNAcentral. Lineage: Archaea; Thermoproteati; Thermoproteota; Thermoprotei; Desulfurococcales; Pyrodictiaceae.